UGCGCAGGCGGUUAUAUAAGACAGAUGCGAAAUCCCCGGGCUCAACCUGGGAACUGCAUUUGUGACUGUAUAGCUAGAGUACGGCAGAGGGGGAGUGGAAUUCCGCGUGUAGCAGUGAAAUGCGUAGAUAUGCGGAGGAACACCGAUGGCGAAGGCAAUCCCCUGGGCCUGUACUGACGCUCAUGCACGAAAGCGUGGGGAGCAAACA
This 208-nucleotide ribosomal RNA is filed under the name uncultured bacterium. Its description in RNAcentral is "partial 16S ribosomal RNA". It matches the Rfam family "Bacterial small subunit ribosomal RNA", at positions 568 to 774 of the family's 1533-position model. The record is from RNAcentral.